GGCGGGUUGGCAGAAUGGCUAUGCAGCGGAUUGCAAAUCCGUGGACCUCGGUUCGACUCCGGGACCCGCCU
This 71-nucleotide transfer RNA is filed under the name Colwellia sp. PAMC 20917. It matches the Rfam family "tRNA". Rfam says of the family: Transfer RNA (tRNA) molecules are approximately 80 nucleotides in length. Their secondary structure includes four short double-helical elements and three loops (D, anti-codon, and T loops). Further hydrogen bonds mediate the characteristic L-shaped molecular structure. tRNAs have two regions of fundamental functional importance: the anti-codon, which is responsible for specific mRNA codon recognition, and the 3' end, to which the tRNAs corresponding amino acid is attached (by aminoacyl-tRNA synthetases). tRNAs cope with the degeneracy of the genetic code in two manners: having more than one tRNA (with a specific anti-codon) for a particular amino acid; and 'wobble' base-pairing, i.e. permitting non-standard base-pairing at the 3rd anti-codon position. Lineage: Bacteria; Pseudomonadati; Pseudomonadota; Gammaproteobacteria; Alteromonadales; Colwelliaceae. The record is from Rfam by way of RNAcentral.